AAGUCGUAACAAGGUUUCCGUAGGUGAACCUGCGGAAGGAUCAUUAAUGAAUUAAACGGACAGGUUGUCGCUGACCCUCUGGGUAUGUGCACGCCUUGUUCAAUUCAUCCACACACCUCUGUGCACUCUUCAUAGAUUGUGACAAUGGAUUGUCUUUGUACGGUUCAGAGUCUCUCUAUGUAAUUUUUACAAACACUUUAUCAGUCUUUGAAUGUCUUUUACUUGCUAUAAACGCAACAAAUAUAACUUUCAGCAACGGAUCUCUUGGCUCUC
Molecule: unclassified non-coding RNA, 273 nt
Filed under: Hyphoderma sp.
Lineage: Eukaryota; Fungi; Basidiomycota; Agaricomycetes; Polyporales; Hyphodermataceae
Description: partial internal transcribed spacer region
Rfam family: Eukaryotic small subunit ribosomal RNA (bases 1-46)
Source: RNAcentral